This 253-nucleotide ribosomal RNA is filed under the name uncultured bacterium. Its description in RNAcentral is "partial 16S ribosomal RNA". It matches the Rfam family "Bacterial small subunit ribosomal RNA", at positions 524 to 776 of the family's 1533-position model. The record is from RNAcentral.
GACGGAGGAUGCAAGCGUUAUCCGGAAUGAUUGGGCGUAAAGCGUCCGCAGGUGGCAGUUCAAGUCUGCUGUCAAAGACCGGGGCUUAACUUCGGAAAGGCAGUGGAAACUGAACAGCUAGAGUAUGGUAGGGGCAGAGGGAAUUCCUGGUGUAGCGGUGAAAUGCGCAGAUAUCAGGAGGAACACCGGUGGCGAAGGCGGAUCUCUGGGCCUUACCUGACGCUCAGGCGCGAAAGCUAGGGGAGCGAACAGG